RNAcentral lists this transfer RNA (66 nucleotides) under Triraphis sp. QL-2013. RNAcentral's name for it is "tRNA-Asp". The record is from RNAcentral. Lineage: Eukaryota; Metazoa; Arthropoda; Insecta; Hymenoptera; Braconidae.
UAGAAAUUAGUUAAUAAAUAACAUUAAAAUGUCAUUUUAAAAUAAUUAAAAAAUUAAUAUUUCUAA